AGGGAUUUAGCUCAGUGGCACAGCACCUGUCUGGCAAGCAUGAGAUCCUGCAUUUGAUUUCCAGUAUCCCCC
Molecule: transfer RNA, 72 nt
Filed under: Cavia porcellus (domestic guinea pig)
Lineage: Eukaryota; Metazoa; Chordata; Mammalia; Rodentia; Caviidae
Rfam family: tRNA
About the family: Transfer RNA (tRNA) molecules are approximately 80 nucleotides in length. Their secondary structure includes four short double-helical elements and three loops (D, anti-codon, and T loops). Further hydrogen bonds mediate the characteristic L-shaped molecular structure. tRNAs have two regions of fundamental functional importance: the anti-codon, which is responsible for specific mRNA codon recognition, and the 3' end, to which the tRNAs corresponding amino acid is attached (by aminoacyl-tRNA synthetases). tRNAs cope with the degeneracy of the genetic code in two manners: having more than one tRNA (with a specific anti-codon) for a particular amino acid; and 'wobble' base-pairing, i.e. permitting non-standard base-pairing at the 3rd anti-codon position.
Source: Rfam by way of RNAcentral